Molecule: ribosomal RNA, 602 nt
Filed under: Saccharomyces uvarum
Lineage: Eukaryota; Fungi; Ascomycota; Saccharomycetes; Saccharomycetales; Saccharomycetaceae
Description: eukaryotic LSU rRNA
Rfam family: Eukaryotic large subunit ribosomal RNA
Source: RNAcentral
GCAUAUCAAUAAGCGGAGGAAAAGAAACCAACCGGGAUUGCCUUAGUAACGGCGAGUGAAGCGGCAAAAGCUCAAAUUUGAAAUCUGGUACCUUUGGUGCCCGAGUUGUAAUUUGGAGAGGGCAACUUUGGGACCGUUCCUUGUCUAUGUUCCUUGGAACAGGACGUCAUAGAGGGUGAGAAUCCCGUGUGGCGAGGAGUGCGGUUCUAUGUAAAGUGCCUUCGAAGAGUCGAGUUGUUUGGGAAUGCAGCUCUAAGUGGGUGGUAAAUUCCAUCUAAAGCUAAAUAUUGGCGAGAGACCGAUAGCGAACAAGUACAGUGAUGGAAAGAUGAAAAGAACUUUGAAAAGAGAGUGAAAAAGUACGUGAAAUUGUUGAAAGGGAAGGGCAUUUGAUCAGACAUGGUGUUUUGCGCCCUCUGCUCCUUGUGGGUGGGGGAAUCUCGCAGUUCACUGGGCCAGCAUCAGUUUUGGUGGCAGGAUAAAUCCGUAGGAAUGUAACUUGCUUCGGGAAGUAUUAUAGCCUAUGGGAAUACUGCCAGCUGGGACUGAGGACUGCGACGUAAGUCAAGGAUGCUGGCAUAAUGGUUAUAUGCCGCCCGUCU